This 379-nucleotide long non-coding RNA is filed under the name Coffea arabica (coffee). Its description in RNAcentral is "long non-coding RNA (CARA_LNC001613)". Lineage: Eukaryota; Viridiplantae; Streptophyta; Magnoliopsida; Gentianales; Rubiaceae. The record is from RNAcentral.
AACAAGGUCUCCUGAAAUACAUCCUUACAGCCUCUGCCAAAUUCCACCACCAUUUUCGCCCCAAGCAUUGGCAAAACCUUUGAUUUGAUCCUUGAACCUCUCUGGCUCCGCCGAUGUUUCAUUCCCGAUGAAUCAACCCCAAAUUUCUUGGUCUCGAAUGCUAGCGUCGAAAUUCCAAUUACUUCGCCAUUGAAACUUAUCCCAGUAUCUUCAACUAAACUAGGUAACUCCUCCCUCCAUGACCUCGAAGAAGAUCCCAUUACCUCCCCCAUUUCCAGAGUUCUUUGUGUCUGUAGAUUUAUGAAUUAACCCAUCCUCCUACAAACAAUUUAGGUUGGAGAGUUUCAAAGAAAAGGCUGUACAGACGAAUUUGCCCCUC